Molecule: long non-coding RNA, 485 nt
Organism: Zalophus californianus (California sea lion)
Lineage: Eukaryota; Metazoa; Chordata; Mammalia; Carnivora; Otariidae
Exons: 3
Source: RefSeq, a predicted model, not a curated record
GUGCUUUUGGCUCAUGUUUGUGAUGAUAAUUUAAGUCUCGUGAGUCCGACCUGCUGCACGGUGUGAGGGGAGAGUGAAGUCAGAGAAUGGAGAUGUGGACAAGAACACACGUAGCCCUAACUGGAGCUGGCGGCCACCCCGUGUUUGUGAGAGCUGCCCAUCCCUCUCCGACAAAGAAUUGGAAGAAAGCAGAGAAGUGAAAAGGCCCUGUGUCCCAGAUGACGCUACUGAGCCGUUGAAUCCUACCAGCCCCAAAGUCGGUCCUACCUUGAAUAAUCAAUCUACACUGGCCAUUCGAGGAGCCCUGCCUUUGUGGGUUAAAUCCCAGUAGAAGACACUGGAAUUCUUCCUGUGGCUAGCUGGCAGAAGAGUACUGUGUCAGGAGAGGUGCAGAAGCACUGAUGCAAGCAGAGCUCAGGUGGCCUUUUGCACCAGCCUCAGAAACCUGUCCCAUCCUCCAAUCAUGUACAUCAGAUGGAAAGGUC